CACGUGGGUCAUUUGCCCUCGGCACCGGGAUAGCCCGGGGAAACCCGGAUUAAUACCGGAUGGCCUCUCGAGCCCUCGGGCUCGUGAGAAAAGGUAGCUUCGGCCUCCGGCCGAGGAUGAGCCCGCGGCGGAUUAGCUUGUUGGUGGGGUAAUGGCCCACCAAGGCGACGAUCCGUAGCCGGCCUCAGAAGACGAGAAGACAAAAGGCCAAAGAAACACAACCCAGACACCUACCGGAGGCAGCAGUGGGAAUCUGCGCAAUGGCGAAGCCUGACGCAGAACGCCGCGUGCGGAGAAGCUUCCGGUUGUAAACCGCUUCCAGGAGGACGAAGCCAUCGGGUUAAUAGCCCAGAGGGUGACGGUACUCCAGAAGAAGCCCCGGCUAACUACGUGCCAGCAGCCGCGGUAAUACGUAGGGGGCAAGCGUUGUCCGGAUUUAUUGGGCGUAAAGAGCGUGUAGGCGGCCAGGCAGGUCCGCUGUGAAACUCGAGGCUUAACCUCGAGACGUCGGUGGAAACCGUUUGGCUAGAGUCCGGAAGAGGAGAGUGGAAUUCCCGGUGUAGCGGUGAAAUGCGCAGAUAUCGGGAAGAACACCCGUGGCGAAGGCGGCUCUCUGGGACGGUACUGACGCUGAGACGCGAAAGCGUGGGGAGCGAACAGGAUUAGAUACCCUGGUAGUCCACGCCGUAAACGAUGGGUGCUAGGUGUGGGCGGUGUCGACUCCGUCCGUGCCGAAGCUAACGCAUUAAGCACCCCGCCUGGGGAGUACGGCCGCAAGGCUAAAACUCAAAGGAAUUGACGGGGGCCCGCACAAGCAGCGGAGCAUGUUGUUUAAUUCGACGCACGCGAAGAACCUUACCAGGGCUGACAUGCACAGGAAUGUCGUGGAAACACGCAGCCCUUCGGGCCUGUGCACAGGUGGUGCAUGGCUGUCGUCAGCUCGUGUCGUGAGAUGUGGGUAAAGUCCCGCACGAGCGCACCCUAACCUAUGUUGCCAGCGUGAAGACCGGAACUCAUACGGAACUGCCGGUGACAAAUCGAGAAAGUGGGGAUGAGGUCAAGUCACAUGCCCUAGUCCUCGACUCAAACGUGCUACAUUGGCCGGUACAAAGGGCGGCAAACCCGUGAGGGGGAGCGAAUCCCAAAAAGCCGGUCCCGGUUCGGAUUGGAGGCUGAAACUCGCCUCCAUGAAGGCGGAGUUGCUAGUAAUCGCGGAUCAGCAACGCCGCGGUGAAUAUGUUCCCGGGCCUUGUACACACCGCCCGUCACACCACGAAAGUCGGCAACACCCGAAGCCGGUGGCCUAACCCGCAAGGGAGGGAGCCGUCGAAGGUGGGGUUGAUGAUUGGGGUAAAGUCGUAACAAGGUAACC
This 1372-nucleotide ribosomal RNA is filed under the name uncultured microorganism. Its description in RNAcentral is "bacterial SSU rRNA". It matches the Rfam family "Bacterial small subunit ribosomal RNA". The record is from RNAcentral.